CCCCAAAUACCUUCGUGAAUCAAAUGCCCUCAGUCCCUCACCACUCACCAACCCUAGCUUCUUCAAGAAUUCAGAACCCAAACCAAAAACCUAGCCUCUUCAACGGAUUCGACGCCGCCGCUCGUCGUUGUAGGCGCCUCCGCGGCCUCCUCCUCCCCCUGUUCCAAACCAAAUCCCUAGCUCGGCACGUCGUCGUUGCGUCGUCUUCUAGCUUCGCUGUUCAAGGCUUCGAGUUUGAGAUGCUUGCCGUGGUGUCGCCGUUGUCGUCUUGCUCUCAGUUGAAGUUAUUGAUUUGAAGGUUAGGGUGAUUAUUUGUUCUGGAACUGAGUCUGUUGUUUCACUGCCUGAUGGGAAAGUAAGUUCUCCCCAUCCUCCAUUGGAUUCGUCCUGCUCGUCGCCCUCUUGAUGGUUAGUGACUUUGGUGUGCACUUGUUCUUCGUUUUUCGUUUUAUUCUCUGACUCUUUGUUCUGAAAUCAACAAAUCAUUGAAUGAUUAUAUUGAUUAUGGGGUUUUGUGUCUUUGUUCAAAUUUGCAUAAUGUCCCCAGAAUUCUUUGCUGAGAACAAGAACAUUGCAGGAUUUGAUAAUCCAGGAAAAUCUCUUUAUACUACUGUUAGAGAGCUCGUGGAGAAUUCGCUUGACUCAGCGGAAUCGAUAUCGGAGCUUCCGGUAGUUGAGAUAACCAUGUGAGUUUGCAUUUGAAAGUACAAUGAACUAGUAAAUGAUUGAUUGUUCCAUGCUGACAUGGUUGUUGCAGUGAGGAGAUAAAGAAAAGCAAAUUUAAUUCUAUGAUC
Arachis ipaensis is the source of this 794-nucleotide non-coding RNA. The record is from RefSeq and is a predicted model, not a curated record. Lineage: Eukaryota; Viridiplantae; Streptophyta; Magnoliopsida; Fabales; Fabaceae.